RNAcentral lists this ribosomal RNA (460 nucleotides) under uncultured bacterium. RNAcentral describes it as "partial 16S ribosomal RNA". It matches the Rfam family "Bacterial small subunit ribosomal RNA", at positions 338 to 795 of the family's 1533-position model. The record is from RNAcentral.
CCUACGGGAGGCAGCAGUGAGGAAUAUUGGUCAAUGGACGAGAGUCUGAACCAGCCAAGUAGCGUGAAGGAUGACUGCCCUAUGGGUUGUAAACUUCUUUUAUAUGGGAAUAAAACGUUCCACGUGUGGGAUUUUGUAUGUACCAUAUGAAUAAGGAUCGGCUAACUCCGUGCCAGCAGCCGCGGUAAUAAGGAGGAUCCGCGCGUUAUCCGGAUUUAUUGGGGUUAAAGGGAGCGUAGGUGGAUUGUUAAGUCAGUUGUGAAAGUUUGCGGCUCAACAGUAAAAUUGCAGUUGAAACUGGCAGUCUUGAGUACAGUAGAGGUGGGCGGAAUUCGUGGUGUAGCGGUGAAAUGCUUAGAUAUCACGAAGAACUCCGAUUGCGAAGGCAGUUCACUGGACUGCAACUGACACUGAGGCUCGAAAGUGUGGGUAUCAAACAGGAUUAGAUACCCGAGUAGUC